This 429-nucleotide ribosomal RNA is filed under the name Asticcacaulis sp. 'ARUP UnID 134'. RNAcentral's name for it is "bacterial SSU rRNA". It matches the Rfam family "Bacterial small subunit ribosomal RNA", at positions 29 to 504 of the family's 1533-position model. Lineage: Bacteria; Pseudomonadati; Pseudomonadota; Alphaproteobacteria; Caulobacterales; Caulobacteraceae. The record is from RNAcentral.
ACGAACGCUGGCGGCAUGCCUAACACAUGCAAGUCGAACGAGACCUUCGGGUCUAGUGGCGCACGGGUGCGUAACGCGUGGGAAUCUGCCCUUGGGUUCGGAAUAACUCCCCGAAAGGGGUGCUAAUACCGGAUGAUGUCGCAAGACCAAAGAUUUAUCGCCCAAGGAUGAGCCCGCGUAGGAUUAGGUAGUUGGUGAGGUAAAGGCUCACCAAGCCGACGAUCCUUAGCUGGUCUGAGAGGAUGAUCAGCCACACUGGGACUGAGACACGGCCCAGACUCCUACGGGAGGCAGCAGUGGGGAAUAUUGGACAAUGGGCGAAAGCCUGAUCCAGCAAUGCCGCGUGAGUGAUGAAGGCCCUAGGGUUGUAAAGCUCUUUUACCCGGGAUGAUAAUGACAGUACCGGGAGAAUAAGCCCCGGCUAACUCC